RNAcentral lists this transfer RNA (84 nucleotides) under Kofleriaceae bacterium. RNAcentral's name for it is "tRNA-Leu". It matches the Rfam family "tRNA". Rfam says of the family: Transfer RNA (tRNA) molecules are approximately 80 nucleotides in length. Their secondary structure includes four short double-helical elements and three loops (D, anti-codon, and T loops). Further hydrogen bonds mediate the characteristic L-shaped molecular structure. tRNAs have two regions of fundamental functional importance: the anti-codon, which is responsible for specific mRNA codon recognition, and the 3' end, to which the tRNAs corresponding amino acid is attached (by aminoacyl-tRNA synthetases). tRNAs cope with the degeneracy of the genetic code in two manners: having more than one tRNA (with a specific anti-codon) for a particular amino acid; and 'wobble' base-pairing, i.e. permitting non-standard base-pairing at the 3rd anti-codon position. The record is from RNAcentral. RNAcentral also lists the same sequence under 2 other names. Lineage: Bacteria; Pseudomonadati; Myxococcota; Haliangiales; Kofleriaceae.
GCCGGGAUGGAGAAAUGGUAGACUCGGGGGUCUCAAAAGCCCCUUCCCCUUAAAGGAGUGUCGGUUCGAGUCCGACUCCCGGCA